Molecule: long non-coding RNA, 2776 nt
Organism: Nerophis ophidion (straightnose pipefish)
Lineage: Eukaryota; Metazoa; Chordata; Actinopteri; Syngnathiformes; Syngnathidae
Exons: 6
Source: RefSeq, a predicted model, not a curated record
UCCAAACGGAAUAAUUUUUUUUACAAAUAAUAAUUAACUUAGAAUUUCAUGGCUGCAAUACGUGCCAAAGUAGUUGGGAAAGGGCAUGUUCACCACUGUGUUACAUCACCUUUUCUUUCAACAACACUCAAUAACCGUUUGGGAACUGAGGAAACUAAUUGUUGAAGCUUGGAAGGUGGAAUUCUUUCCCAUUCUUGUUUUAUGUAGAGCUUCAGUCUCCUCUGUCGUAUUUUACGCUUCAUAAUGCACCACACAUUUUUGAUAGGACUGCAGGCCGGCCAGGAAAGUACCUGCACUCUUUUUUUAUGAAGCUGAACACGUGCUGAAUGUGGCUUGGCAUUGUCUUGCUGAAAUAAGCAGGGGCGUACAUGAAAAAGUCGGCGCUUAAAUGGCAGCAAAUGUUGUUCCAAACAGAUGGGUAACUUACAGAUGUGUAAGUUACCCAUGCCUUGGGCACUAAUGCACCCCCAUACCAUCACAGAUGCUGGCUUUUGAACUUUGCGUCGAUAACAUUCUGGAUGGUUCGCUUCCCCUUUGGUCCGGAUGAAACGGUGUCCAAUAUUUCCAAAAAUAAUUUGAAAUGUGGGCUCGUCAGACCACAGAACACCUUUCGACUUUGCAUCAGCCCAUCUUAGAUGAUCUUGGGCCCAGAGAAGCCGGCGGCGUUUCUGGAUGUUGAUAAUUGGCUUUCGCUUUGCAUAAUAGAGCUUUAACUUGCACUUACAGAUAUAGCAACACACUGUAUUUAGUGACAGUGGUUUUCUGAAGUGUUCCUGAACUCAUGUGGUGAUAUCCUUUAGAGAUUGAUGUCGGUUUUUGAUACAGUGCCGUCUGAGGGAUCGAAGGUCACAGUUAUUCAAUGUUGGUUUCCAGACAUGCCGCUUACGUGGAGUGAUUUCUCCGGAUUCUCUGAACCUUUUGAUGAUAUCAUGGAGCGUAGAUGUUGAAAUCCCUAAAUUUCUUGCAAUUGCACUUUGAGAAAGGUUGUUCUUAAACUGUUUGACUAUUUGCUCACGCAGUUGUGGACAAAGGGGUGUACCUCGCCCCAUCCUUUCCUGUGAAAGACUGAGCAUUUUUUGGGAAGCUGUUUUUAUAGCCAAUCAUGGCACCCACCUGUUCCAAAUUAGCCUUCACACCUGUGGGAUGUCCCAAAUAAGUGUUUGAUGAGCAUUUCUUAACUUUAUCAGUAUUUAUUGCCACCUUUCCCAACUUGUUUGUUGCAUGUUGCUGGCAUCAAUUUCUAAAGUUAAUGAUUAUUUGCACCAAAAAAAUGUUUAUCAGUUUGAACAUCAAAUAUCAAUCAAUCAAUCAAUGUUUACUUAUAUAGCCCUAAAUCACUAGUGUCUCAAAGGGCUGCACAAACCACUACGACAUCCUCGGUAGGCCCACAUAAGGGCAAGGAAAACUCACACCCAGUGGGACGUCGGUGACAAUGAUGACUAUGAGAACCUUAGAGAGGAGGAAAGCAAUGGAUGUCGAGCGGGUCUAACAUGAUACUGUGAAAGUUCAAUCCAUAAUGGAUCCAACACAGUCGCGAGAGUCCAGUCCAAAGCGGAUCCAACACAGCAGCGAGAGUCCCGUUCACAGCGGAGCCAGCAGGAAACCAUCCCAAGCGGAGGCGGAUCAGCAUCGCAGAGAUGUCCCCAGCCGAUACACAGGCAAACAUAUGUUGUCUUUGUAGCAUAUUCAACUGAAUAUGGGUUGAAAAUGAUUUGCAAAUCAUUGUAUUCUGUUUAUAUUUACAUCUAACACAAUUUCCCAACUCAUAUGGAAACGGGGUUUGUACUUAAUUUAAUAAUUAUUUACAUUUAUGAAAGAGUAAUUCUGUUUGUAAUAUAAUUUUUAGUCAAGUAACGACUAUUAUUAUUGCUUUUUAAAACAGAUAUUCCAAACAUUGUUAAUUGAUAAACUGUUUUAUCAGGAUAUGGUGUAUUUGCUCUUGCAUCAAUUGAAAAAGGUUCUUUUGUGGUCGAGUACCGAGGGAAGUUCAUCUCAAGACAUGAGCGGGACAAGAGACAGAAACCCUCUAUAAAUAUCUUUACUAUUUAUCUGGCAUUAUAUGCUCAUAAUGUUAACAACAAAAAGUGCUGAUAAUGUUAUAAUUAAUAAGUUCUAACAUUAUUUUUAUGUGUUUUGUUGCAGACACCAACUGUUGAUGUUCUAUCUCAACAUUCUCCAGACUCAUGUGACCGAUAAACCGACUUCAUCCCUCCAACAGACACCAACUGUUGGGGUUCUAUCUCAACAUUCUCCAGAUUCAGAUGUGAGCGAUAAACCGACUUCAUCCCUCCAACAGAAACCAACUGUUGAGGUUCCAUCUCAACAUUCUCCAGAUUCAGAUGUGAGCCAUUAACUGACUUCAUCCCUCCAACAGAAACCAACUGUUGAGGUUCUAUCUCAACAUUCUCUAGAUUCAGAUGACAGCCAUAAACCGACUUCAUCCCUCCAACAGAUUGACAGCAGGACAAAUCGCUGGAAGUAGGUAUGUCUCAAGCUUCUUCCACUUGGUCCACUCCAAAGCGGGCUGCAAAGGGGAAGAAGUGGAAGCAGUUGAAUGACACAUGUUGCAUUUUGUAACUGGCAACAAAGUACCAGGUAAAAAAGAUUGUGAAGCCUGCCUCCAUAAAGAACUAGUAGCUCUACAGGACAGAGAUUGGCUUGCCAUCAAGUACUACAUCCAUAACAGAAUUAUAUUAAAAAAAGGGGAAAAAAAUGUUUUCCCACAUCUUCUGUGGUAGUUUGAGUAUGUUACCAGCAAUUAAAAAAGCAAAAUAAA